This 456-nucleotide ribosomal RNA is filed under the name uncultured bacterium. Its description in RNAcentral is "bacterial SSU rRNA". It matches the Rfam family "Bacterial small subunit ribosomal RNA", at positions 340 to 786 of the family's 1533-position model. The record is from RNAcentral.
UACGGGAGGCAGCAGUGGGGAAUAUUGCACAAUGGGCGAAAGCCUGAUGCAGCUAUGCCGCGUGUAUGAAGAAGGCCUUAGGGUUGUAAAGUACUUUCAUCGGGGAGGAAAAAACAAACUAAUAAUUUUAUUCUUGACGUUACCCGAAAAAGAAGCACCGGCUAACUCCGUGCCAGCAGCCGCGGUAAUACGGAGGGUGCUAGCGUUAAUCAGAAUUACUGGGCGUAAAGAGCACGUAGGUGGUUUUUUUAAGUUCAGAUGUGAAAUCCCUGGGCUUAACCUAGGAACUGCAUUUUGAAACUGAAAUACUAGAGUAUCGUAGAGGGAGGUAGAAUUCUAGGUGUAGCGGUUGAAAUGCGUAGAUAUCUGGAGGAAUACCUGUGGCGAAAGCGGCCUCCUAAACGAAUACUGACACUGAGGUGCGAAAGCGUGGGGAGCAAACAGGGAUUAGAUACC